Anolis sagrei ordinatus is the source of this 300-nucleotide non-coding RNA. Lineage: Eukaryota; Metazoa; Chordata; Lepidosauria; Squamata; Anolidae. The record is from RefSeq and is a predicted model, not a curated record.
CAAUGAAAAAUAGCAUUCGGGAGAAAGCAUACCAUCACCAUGGCAGCAUCACAAAUACUAGGAAAUGUAAGAAGCUUAAACAGGUUUACCUGUACCUUGUUGAACUGCAGUUGCUUGCAUUAGAGGAUAAAACAACAGUGGAAAGAGAGGUUGUUGACAUCAUUGGAAACAUUUUGAAAAGAUACGGGAGCAGUGAAAGUUAUGAGCUUUUCAGAAAACUGGACAAAGCCUGGUUGUCUGAAGAUGCAAAAACAAGAGAGGACACAUUUAUAAAGCUGUAUGAAGCUCUGGACACAGAUC